RNAcentral lists this ribosomal RNA (497 nucleotides) under uncultured bacterium. Its description in RNAcentral is "partial 16S ribosomal RNA". It matches the Rfam family "Bacterial small subunit ribosomal RNA", at positions 28 to 507 of the family's 1533-position model. The record is from RNAcentral.
GAUGAACGCUGGCGGCGUGCCUAAUACAUGCAAGUCGAGCGAACAGACGAGGAGCUUGCUCCUCUGACGUUAGCGGCGGACGGGUGAGUAACACGUGGAUAACCUACCUAUAAGACUGGGAUAACUUCGGGAAACCGGAGCUAAUACCGGAUAAUAUAUUGAACCGCAUGGUUCAAUAGUGAAAGACGGUUUUGCUGUCACUUAUAGAUGGAUCCGCGCCGCAUUAGCUAGUUGGUAAGGUAACGGCUUACCAAGGCAACGAUGCGUAGCCGACCUGAGAGGGGGAUCGGCCAACACGGAACUGAGACACGGUCCAGACCCCUACGGGAGGCAGCAGUAGGGAAUCUUUCGGAAUGGGCGAAAGCCUUACGGAGCAACGGCGCGUGAGUUAUGAAAGUCUUCCGAUCGUAAAACCCUGUUAUUAGGGAAGAACAAAUGUGUAAGUAACCAUGCCCGUCUUGACGGUACCUAAUCAGAAAGCCACGGCUAACUACGUG